Molecule: ribosomal RNA, 440 nt
Filed under: uncultured bacterium
Lineage: Bacteria
Description: partial 16S ribosomal RNA
Rfam family: Bacterial small subunit ribosomal RNA
Source: RNAcentral
CCUACGGGGGGCAGCAGUGGGGAAUAUUGCACAAUGGGGGAAACCCUGAUGCAGCGACGCCGCGUGAGUGAAGAAGUAUCUCGGUACGUAAAGCUCUAUCAGCAGGGAAGAAAAUGACGGUACCUGACUAAGAAGCCCCGGCUAACUACGAGCCAGCAGCCGCGGUAAUACGGAGGGGGCAAGCGUUAUCCGGAUUUACUGGGUGUAAAGGGAGCGUAGGCGGCAGCACAAGUCUGGAGUGAAAUCCCGGGGCUUAACCCCGGAACUGCUUUGGAAACUGUGCGGCUAGAGUGCAGGAGGGGUAAGCGGAAUUCCUAGUGUAGCGGUGAAAUGCGUAGAUAUUAGGAAGAACACCGAUUGCGAAGGCAGUUCACUGGACUGCAACUGACGCUGAGGCUCGAAAGUGUGGGUAUCAAACAGGAUUAGAUACCCUUGUAGUC